This 76-nucleotide transfer RNA is filed under the name Olivibacter domesticus. Its description in RNAcentral is "Pseudosphingobacterium domesticum tRNA_Lys_CTT". It matches the Rfam family "tRNA". Rfam says of the family: Transfer RNA (tRNA) molecules are approximately 80 nucleotides in length. Lineage: Bacteria; Pseudomonadati; Bacteroidota; Sphingobacteriia; Sphingobacteriales; Sphingobacteriaceae. The record is from RNAcentral.
GACUUCGUAGCUCAGUUGGUAGAGCAACUGACUCUUAAUCAGUGGGUCGAGAGUUCGAGCCUCUCCGGGGUCACUA